This 465-nucleotide ribosomal RNA is filed under the name uncultured bacterium. RNAcentral's name for it is "partial 16S ribosomal RNA". It matches the Rfam family "Bacterial small subunit ribosomal RNA", at positions 338 to 795 of the family's 1533-position model. The record is from RNAcentral.
CCUACGGGAGGCAGCAGUGGGGAAUAUUGCGCAAUGGGCGAAAGCCUGACGCAGCGACGCCGCGUGAGGGAUGAAGGUCUUCGGAUCGUAAACCUCUGUCAGCAGGGAAGAACGGUCACUGUGCUAAUCAGCAGUGAAUUGACGGUACCUGCAAAGGAAGCACCGGCUAACUCCGUGCCAGCAGCCGCGGUAAUACGGAGGGUGCGAGCGUUAAUCGGAAUUACUGGGCGUAAAGCGCUCGUAGGCGGUAUGUCAAGUCAAGGGUGAAAUCCCCGCGCUCAACGUGGGAACUGCCUUGGAAACUGGCAAACUGGAGUGUGUGAGAGGAUAGUGGAAUUCCAGGUGUAGGAGUGAAAGCCGUAGAUAUCUGGAGGAACAUCAGUGGCGAAGGCGACUAUCUGGCACAUAACUGACGCUGAGGAGCGAAAGCGUGGGUAGCAAACAGGAUUAGAUACCCCAGUAGUC